This 253-nucleotide ribosomal RNA is filed under the name uncultured bacterium. RNAcentral describes it as "partial 16S ribosomal RNA". It matches the Rfam family "Bacterial small subunit ribosomal RNA", at positions 524 to 776 of the family's 1533-position model. The record is from RNAcentral.
UACGGGGGGGGCAAGCGUUGUUCGGAAUUACUGGGCGUAAAGGGCUCGUAGGCGGCCAACUAAGUCGGAUGUGAAAUCCCCAGGCUCAACCUGGGAACUGCAUCCGAUACUGGAUGGCUUGAAUUCGGGAGAGGGAUGCAGAAUUCCAGGUGUAGCGGUGAAAUGCGUAGAUAUCUGGAGGAAUACCGGUGGCGAAGGCGGCAUCCUGGACCGAGAUUGACGCUGAUGCGCGAAAGCCAGGGGAGCAAACGGG